ACAGUCACACAUUAGAUACCCCGGUAGUCCUAGCCGUAAACGAUACUCGCUAGGCGUCGGCCACGGUGCGACCGUUGUCGGUGCCGUAGGGAAGCCGUGAAGCGAGCCACCUGGGAAGUACGGCCGCAAGGCUGAAACUUAAAGGAAUUGGCGGGGAGCACAACAACGGGUGGAGCUUGCGGUUUAAUUGGAUUCAACGCCGGAAAUCUUACCGGGACCGACAGCAACAUGAAGGCCAAGCUGAAGACUUUGCCGGAUUAGCUG
RNAcentral lists this ribosomal RNA (264 nucleotides) under uncultured archaeon. Its description in RNAcentral is "partial 16S ribosomal RNA". It matches the Rfam family "Archaeal small subunit ribosomal RNA", at positions 719 to 982 of the family's 1478-position model. The record is from RNAcentral.